This 1270-nucleotide small RNA is filed under the name Oryza sativa Japonica Group (Japanese rice). RNAcentral describes it as "sRNA Os11g0129101". Lineage: Eukaryota; Viridiplantae; Streptophyta; Magnoliopsida; Poales; Poaceae. The record is from RNAcentral.
CCUUACCUUUGCUUGAAAUCCUAGCACAUAGCCUAGUAUUGCACCAAGAGGGAUACCAAUAAAGUAGUACGAUGUAACAUUAACAUAGGCAACUACACUUUGCCAACCCGAUCCGAUAGCGACACCUGAGAGCACUGGUUGAACACUAUUCAACAAAAUAGAGAAAGCUAGAAGGGGAGCAAGAUCAGCGACUUCAUCUGCUACUGCCUUACUUUCAGUAAAUAUGUAUGCAAGGCUUCCACGGAAGAAAAGGAAGAGCACAAACAACACAAAUCCUAUCAAGAAAGAAGUGGUGACCACAUUGAAAAUGGCAAACUUAGCUCUUCUUGCACUCCCGGCUCCAAGUUCAUUUGCCACCCGCACUCUAAAAAUAUACAUGCAUUAAGUAUAUAAAUCAUCAUCUCCCAACCAUUGAUAUUAAGGCUACAAAGUUUGCAAGUGAAAACAACAAUGUUCAAGUUGUUUUCUAAACUAAUACACAACAGAUUAGAGUGGAAUAUAUUACCAUAUAGAAAGAGCAUCAAGAGCAACCUCUGCAUUCUUCAUAUAACCAGUGAGGAGCACCAAUAUGGUGUUGUACCACAAUUCUAAACUGAAAAGGUAAAAGAAAAAUGAGAAUAAAUAAAUUUCAUAUAUACACAUAAACGUAACCAUGUUACUUACCAAAGCAUCACUCCAGACGAUAAUGAAAGCUUCAUAAUAGCACCAAGAUCAGUAAAAGCAGAGGAUGAGAACCCUGUCCAUGUUAGAGGGCAACCACCAAAGAAGACAAAAGCGAGUUGGCCAAACACAGGGAUCCAAAAGGAGAUGACCAUGGAUCCCAUGACCCCAGCAAGACCAAGUUGGAACUUGACUGUUAGGAGCCAUGACAAGAAGAGGUGAAUCCCAAGAUUGAGGAAGGCAAGGUAAGUGACAAUCAUGUUCUUGCUCUGCGCUUGUAGGUACAUUUGGAGCGUGAAUGCCCAUAUGUAAGAGAACAUUACGGGGAUGUACCAUAGAGAGAUGGUGCCAGCGACGGCAGAGAUCUCAGGAUCUUGACCGAGAGCAAUCAGGAGUGGAGUUGUGAAGAUAUAGACCGGGAGAAGGAUGACUGCACAACAGAAGAGAACUAGCCAUGAGCGUUGUAGAUAGAUGCCCAACAUGUGAUAUUGCUUGGCGCCAUAUGAUUGUCCACACAACGUUUCUAAUGCGCUCGCCAUGCCAAGCUGCAAUUUACAACAAUGUGCAUAUACAGUUAAUUUGUAGUAUAUACUGUUUUUAUAUGCAUAUU